GAUAGUGUGGCCGAGUGGUCUAUGGCGCUGGAUUUAGGCUUCGGAGGCAAGGGUUCGAAUCCCUUCACUGUCA
This is a non-coding RNA of Daphnia pulicaria, 73 nucleotides long. The record is from the annotation of a RefSeq genome assembly. Lineage: Eukaryota; Metazoa; Arthropoda; Branchiopoda; Diplostraca; Daphniidae.